UCUCUUUGCGUUGCCCGAAGAGGCCUGGGAGUACAUGUCUGAGUACAAUGGCUGCGCGUUCUGGAGACUCAAC
RNAcentral lists this non-coding RNA (73 nucleotides) under Gloeochaete wittrockiana. Lineage: Eukaryota; Glaucocystophyceae; Gloeochaetales; Gloeochaetaceae. The record is from RNAcentral.